AUGUUCGAGCGGAAGAAGGAUACGAUGGGAUUAACGAACGGCAACGGUAAUCUCGCCGAAGAUAUACAGAAGGAGAAACCGACGAGAUUCUGGACGAAGAUCCACCUGAAUGAAUGGACGUUCAGUCUGUCACUUUUAGUGCUCUCGCUCUUCAUCGUUAUAGGAAAAUUAUACGCGAAUUAUGCGAUCUGAAUCGUUUCCACAAGAAGCAUCUCGUUAUCGCGCGAACGAUAGAUUGAUAUCGCCGAUAGGACCCCGGGAUUCAUUUGUCAAAAUGCGCAAUUUUUAUUUUGGUUCAAUUGGAAGACAGAUUGUCGACGAUGCGGAUUAUUCUAUGAGAAAAAUACAUUGCGUUCUAAGUGUACUUUAAAUUUCCUUAAACGUACAAUUUUUGUCCUGAUUUAAAAAAAAAUAAAUUAUUGAUAUUAUUAAUCAUUAUUAAUAUUUAGCACAUAAUUAUAUUUUAUCGAUCUAAUGUACAAAUUGAAGUUGAUUCAUCAUUACUUUUAACUUAAUAUUUCUCAUACUUGUGUGUAUUGGAUGUUUUUUUCAGUUAUGCUUUCUACAUUUUCAUAGUUUCUUUCUUUUUCUUUUCCAUACAGCACAGAAUAUUGCAAUAUUGCGGCAAUAUUGUAAUUAUUAGUAUUGUUGUAAUAUUACAACAAUAUUAAUAAUAUUGCUGCAAUAUUCUGUUAAUACAUAAGCAAAUUAAUGUAGUUAUUUUAUCAACAUCAAAAGAAGAUAAGAAUUUGUGUAGCUGAAGAAAUCAUAUCUAAUAGAUUUUUAUAAUUAAUUUAUCAAAGUAAUCAUUUCUACAAGCUGUUUUGUGUUUCAAUUAAUAUUUGUUAUCAAUAAAUCUGUAUUUCUCAA
Molecule: unclassified non-coding RNA, 870 nt
Filed under: Camponotus floridanus (Florida carpenter ant)
Lineage: Eukaryota; Metazoa; Arthropoda; Insecta; Hymenoptera; Formicidae
Description: uncharacterized LOC105254573, transcript variant X1
Source: RNAcentral